UUGACCUCAAAUCGGGUGAGACUACCCGCUGAACUUAAGCAUAUCAAUAAGCGGAGGAAAAGAAACUAACAAGGAUUCCCCUAGUAACUGCGAGUGAAGCGGGAAAAGCUCAAAUUUAAAAUCUGGUGGUCUUUGGCCACCCGAGUUGUAAUUUAGAGAAGCGUCUUCCGCGCUGGACCAUGCACAAGUCUCCUGGAAUGGAGCGUCAUAGAGGGUGAGAAUCCCGUCUUUGGCAUGGACCCCCA
This 245-nucleotide ribosomal RNA is filed under the name Russula foetens. Its description in RNAcentral is "partial 28S ribosomal RNA". It matches the Rfam family "Eukaryotic large subunit ribosomal RNA", at positions 1 to 238 of the family's 3401-position model. Lineage: Eukaryota; Fungi; Basidiomycota; Agaricomycetes; Russulales; Russulaceae. The record is from RNAcentral.